UUAAUUGAAACCAAAAAGAGGUAUAUUAUUGUUAAUAAUAUCAUUGAAUUAUUUUCCAAUUAAG
Molecule: transfer RNA, 64 nt
Filed under: Teleogryllus commodus
Lineage: Eukaryota; Metazoa; Arthropoda; Insecta; Orthoptera; Gryllidae
Description: tRNA-Asn
Source: RNAcentral